CUGUGGGAGCGGGUUUACCCGCGAAAAGGCCAGACCUGCCAUGUGCGGUGCCUGUGCCGGCCUCUUCGCGGGUAAACCCGCUCCCACAG
Molecule: microRNA precursor, 89 nt
Filed under: Pseudomonas inefficax
Lineage: Bacteria; Pseudomonadati; Pseudomonadota; Gammaproteobacteria; Pseudomonadales; Pseudomonadaceae
Also listed under: 1 other name
Description: Pseudomonas sp. JV551A3 MIR1846
Rfam family: MIR1846 microRNA precursor family
Source: RNAcentral